This 258-nucleotide ribosomal RNA is filed under the name uncultured bacterium. Its description in RNAcentral is "partial 16S ribosomal RNA". It matches the Rfam family "Bacterial small subunit ribosomal RNA", at positions 524 to 776 of the family's 1533-position model. The record is from RNAcentral.
UACAGAGGGGGCAAGCGUUAUUCGGAAUCAUUGGGCGUAAAGGGCGCGUAGGUGGCCCGGUCAGUUCGUGGUGAAAGCGCGGGGCUCAACCCUGCGUCGGCCAUGAAUACUGCCGCGGCUGGAGCACUGUAGAGGCAGGGCGGAAUUCCGGGGUGUAGCGGUGGAAUGCGUAGAGAUCCGGAAGAACACCGGUGGCGAAGGCGGCCUGCUGGGCAGUUGCUGGACACUGAGGCGCGACAGCGUGGGGGAGCAAACAGG